GUGUGAGCAGCAGGGUGAGCUGCGCGGGAGGGGAUUGGCGUGGAGGCAGCGGCAGCGCGCUGACACGGGGUGUCCGCUCGGAGGAUGGUCCCCGCGGUGGGGCUGCCGCUGCUCAGCCCGCCCAGCCCCCCUGCUCUCUUCUCCGAAACCAUGCCAGAGAUGACAGAGAAUGAGACACCUACUAAGAAGCAACAUCGGAAGAAAAACCGGGAGACACAUAAUGCAGUGGAGAGACAUCGAAAGAAGAAGAUUAAUGCUGGAAUAAACAGAAUCGGAGAACUCAUUCCCUGCUCUCCAGCACUGAAGCAGAGCAAGAACAUGAUCCUGGAUCAGGCCUUUAAGUAUAUAACAGAAAUGAAAAGACAGAAUGAUGAACUUCUGUUAAAUGGAGGGAACAAUGAGCAGGCUGAAGAGAUUAAAAAACUCCGGAAACAGCUGGAUGAACUGCAGAAGGAAAAUGGGAGAUACAUUGAACUACUGAAAGCAAAUGAUAUUUGCCUGUAUGAUGACCCUACAAUCCACUGGAAGGGAAAUCUCAAAAAUUCAAAGGUCUCAGUUGUUAUUCCUGGUGAUCAGGUUCAAAAGAACAUCAUUGUCUAUUCAAAUGGGAGUCAACCCAAUGGAAAUAACCAGGGAGCAUCCGUCCAGGGAAUAACAUUUAACGUUGGUCAUAAUUUACAAAAGCAAACAGCCAAUGUUGUGCCAGUCCAGAGAACUUGUAACCUAGUGACUCCUGUGACGAUUUCUGGUGUUUACCCCGCAGAAAACAAGCCCUGGUCACAAACUACCAUUUCGCCACUGGCCUCCACGCAGGCAGUUCCAGCAGGGAAUGUUCUUGAGCUUUCCACCUCUGAGAACGAGCGAGGUGUGCUUGCCGCUGCUACUGCCAGCUCACAGAGCGCGUCUCAAUCUGGAACAGAACAGGAACUGCGCUGUUUUUCAAGUAACGCGCCACAGAAUGAUCAAAACGUCCCCAAAAGUAAGAAUGAUGAGGAGGGCACUAAACUAACAAAGAAAACACUCCUGCAGGGAAUCAGCCUUCCUUCCAGUGCCUCCACAGAAGCCUCCCAAGUUCAACAGGUGAAUGCAACUUCCUCAAAUACACACAAUUCUAGGAUUGACCUUCAGGAAAGCUGUGUCAUUUCGAGCACAGACACAGCUUGUGUGCCAUCUGUGAGACUGUCUACUGCAGAUAGUUUUUCCUCUGUAAACGUUCUCAAAAGUACAGACUUAGGCAGUAGUGCUGGAAUGCCUGCGACUUCUGCAGCAGAAGGAGUUAAGGCUGCAACAGCAAUAAGCACUCUGCCUGCCAGUCCCCUAGAGAACUGCUGGUCUUUUUCAGGCUCUUCAGGUGUUGGCACUUCGGACUUGAAAAACAUGAGUAGCCUUACACGGAUGCCUUCAGCUGGAAACACACAGACCACGUGGACAACUUUGCAGCUAGCAGGAAAUACUGUUCAGCCACUAAGCCAAGCGCCCUCCAGUAUAAUGACUGCACUAUUAAACGAGCCAGUUAAUGGUGCUGGUACUGUAUCUUCUGCUCACAGCAGGCCUUUGACUACAAGUAUCAGUUUGAAUACUUCUCUGCCUGGGGAUGGUCAGGCAGCUGAACAGAUUGUAGUUACCUUGCCCUCGUGCCCACCCUUACCUAUGCAGCCAUUAAUCAGCCAGCCACAGGUUAAAACUCAGGCUGUAGGAAAUAUCCUUCCAUUAAAUUCAGCUAUGCAGGUGAUUCAGAUGGCUCAGCCAGUCGUGUCAGCUGUUACAGGAGCGCCAGCAAACCAGAAUGUCAUCAUUCUCCAGCCUCCAAACCCUGUGCCAUGUCCUCCAAUUGUGAGAGCAGAAGUUCCCAGCCAAAAUGUUAGCCAGCAAAUUGUAAUUAUACAAGCCGCUAACCAGAAUCCUCUACCACUCCUUUCUGCUCAGCCUUCUGCUUCCAUAAGAGUUCCUGUGAAUGGGCCAACUGCAAUUGCAAACUCUAGCAGCUCCAUACAAAAUGCCUCUCUUCCACAGACCUUUGGAGGGAAACAUCUUGUCCAUAUAUUACCAAGACCAUCCUCUUUGCCAUCUUCUAGCUCCACGCAAACAUUUUCGGUUACAAUGUCAAAUCAACAGCAUCCUCAAACGAUCUCAUUAAAUGGGCAGCUUUUUGCAUUGCAGCCUGUAAUGUCUUCAUCUGGAGCUUCAAAUCAAGCCCCUCUGCAAAUUAUUCAGCCCACCACCAGCGAGGACCCAAAUACCAAUGUUGCCCUCAAUACAUUUGGUGCUUUAGCUAACCUCAAUCAAAGCAUAUCACAAAUGGCUGGACAGAGCUGCUUACAUUUGUCUCUCAGCCACCCUACCAAUCCCACAACUGUCAAUAACCAGAUUGCUACAGUUAACUGUGUGUCGUUACCCACUUCUGUGGCAUCUUCAGUACCCACAGAGGCUUCAGUACUAACUAGUGCAUCUAAUUCAAUAAGUGCUUCCCCCAAAAAAGCGGCUGCUGGCUUGCCAUCCAGUGCAAAAUCAAAAAGGGCAAACAAAAAGCCAAGUACAAAGAAACACCAAGCAGUCAACAGUAAAGUGUCCUGUACAGCAGUUCCUUGCAAAGAUGCAGGGAAGGUGGACUGUGCUCCUGUGGAAGUGGUGGCAAAGCCAUCAGACAGCGAGGGGCUGCUUGAAAACUCUCCAGCAGUUUCGCAAGCUUUAGCAACAUCUCAGGCGAGUGGUGUAGCAGCAUCAAGUGGCAUCAGCGUUUCUGACUGUUGUUCCAAAGACAGUAUGAGCUCUGAACAGGCAGCCAAAACCUGCUCUGAUCCUGAGUCAAGCUCGGCCGGGGCACCCGCUUCCUCGCCACUGACAUUCAUGGUGUCAGAGCAGCUGGCCCUUACCCCACCAACUGCCAAAGAUGCUGCUUCUCACCAGCAGGCCCUUGGGUCUCAAAACCAUCUGCCAACCAGCUCUGCCUCAUCAGAGUCACCCAAACCCUGUGAAACCCUCAGCACCUUAACAUCCUCUCGUACCGAAGCACAUGUGACACAUUCUCAGGUUGCUGGGACGUCAGCAGCACAGAGCAGCACAGCGGGUCAUACUUCCAAGGCAGGAACGAUUUCAGAGUCCUGCAGUGUUGUGCAGGAUUCCUCAGUAGUAAUGCAAGACACAGACUUAUUAGAAAGACAGGGUCUAACCAAAAUGCUGUCUGAUCUCUCGAAAGAAAGAACAACUGCAGAAAAAAACUCUUCAUUUACUGUUCAGGGGGAGCAUUCUGAUUUUUCUAUGGAAAACUCUAAAUCAGCAGAAUCAAACGUUGAUUUGCCUGAGAAGCAGGAACUCUUGCUAAUGAACACAGAAGGUGACACGCUCUCCCAGCAUCACUCCUGCAUUUCUGAUCAGGAAGUAGCGGGUGCUUCCCUUAUUGCUAGCAGGCAGGCAGACUCCCCAAUGUCAACUAGCUCUGGUAGCAGUCGGGGCUUCUCAGUUGCAUCCAUGUUGCCAGAUACCACCAGGGAAGACGUUACUAGCAGCACGUCAACCAGUACGUGUAACAGCUGCACAUUUUCAGAACAGACUGACAUUGUAGCUCUUGCAGCAAGAGCGAUUUUUGACCAGGAAAACCUGGAGAAGGGUGGAGGGGGAGGAAUACAGGUUAACGUGAGGGAUGCUAUCUCUAAGUCAACAGAGGUUGCACCUUCAGAGAGAGAGCAACAGCCUUUUAAGCCUCAACCAGUUAAAGAAAACAAUGCAGGGCCAUUGGAAGCAGCACCAAACAAAUUCAGUGCUCAGGAUACAGUACAAGCAAAUGUUGAUAGACAGGUCGAAAAGCCAAGCUGCUCUGCAGGAGGUGUGGAAACAUCAAACACUGCUUUGCAGAUUUCCACUUCCCAGUCGCCAAGCAUAACCAGUUUAAGUGUAAAUAAUCUAAUACACCAGAGUCGAAUUGUCCAUCCCCUUGUGAGCUGCUCGAGUUUAUCCCAGUCUUCAGAGCCAGCAAGUGUCCCUGCAACCAUUGGCCUCUCCAUUCCCUCUAGCACAUAUGUCAAUCAGUCUCCAGGACCUGCUAUGAUGAGUGAGUAUGCUCAGGAACAACUUAAUGCUAUUAGGGCAAGCACUAUGCAGGCUCCCCAGCUGCAGGAAUCGCACUUAAAGCAGCAAAAUCAUGAAGGUCGCAAGGACUCUGCCAAGCGGGCUGUUCAAGAUGACCUUCUGCUUUCUACAGCAAAGAGGCAAAAGCAGUGCCAGACAACGCCCAUAAGGCUGGAAGGGAUGGCAUUGAUGAACCGAACACCAGAGAGCAUUGCUGAUCAAACACAGAUGCUGGUCAGUCAGAUUCCUCCUAAUUCAUCCAAUUCAGUGGCAUCAGUGAGCAAUCAAGGGCACACUGAUGGCCUUAACAGAUUAUUCCCAUCUAACAGCAACUUUGUGACACCAGCUUUGAGACAAACUGAAGUUCAGUGUGCUUCACAGCCAUCAAUUUCAGAGCAGCAAGGCCAGGCAGGGCAGCACUUGCCACCAAUUCAACAUGUUCCUGCUCAAGGCAUAUCUCAUCUUCACAGCAGUCAUCCAUACUUAAAGCAACAGCAGGCUGGCCAGUUAAGAGAAAGGCACCACUUGUAUCAGCUGCAGCACCAUGUCACUCACGGGGAAAACUCAGUCCACUCUCAACCCCAUGGUGUCCACCAACAGCGAACAAUACAGCAGGAGGUGCAGAUGCAAAAGAAACGAAAUCUCAUCCAGGGAACACAAGCCACACAACUUUCUCUACAGCAAAAACACCAUGGAAGUGAUCAAACACGGCAAAAAGGCAGUCAGCCUCAUCCUCACCACCAGCAAAUGCAGCAGCAGAUGCAGCAGCACUUUGGAGCUUCCCAGCCUGAAAAGAACUGUGAAAAUCCUGCAACAAGCAGAAACCAUCAUAACCACCCUCAGAGCCAUAUAAAUCAGGAUAUUAUGCAUCAACAGCAGCAAGAUGUUAGCAGCAGACAGCAAGGCUCAGCUUCUGAACAUGUGUCAGGGCACAAUCAGAUGCAGAGACUUAUGACCUCAAGGGGCUUAGAGCAGCAAAUGGUGUCGCAGGCAAGUAUUGUAACCAGACCAUCAGAUAUGACAUGCACCCCUCACAGGCAAGAAAGAAAUAGAGUUUCCAGCUACUCUGCAGAGGCGCUCAUUGGGAAGACGCCCUCUAAUUCAGAACAGAGGAUAGGAAUAACUCUUCAAGGCCCUAGGGUUUCUGACCAGCUUGAAAUGAGAAGCUACCUUGAUGUUUCUAGAAAUAAAGGAUUGGUCAUUCAUAAUAUGCAGGGACGCUUAUCUGUUGACCAUACAGUUGGAUCAGAUGUGCAGCGGCUUUCUGAUUGUCAAACAUUUAAGCCAUCUGGACCUAAUCAACAACCAACAGGCAAUUUUGAUGUACAGGCUUCAAGAAACAGUGAAAUUGGUAAUUCUGUGUCAUCCCUCAGGAGUAUGCAGUCACAAGCAUUUCGAAUUGGUCAAAAUACUGGGACAUCCAUAGAGAGACAGAAGAGAUUGCCCUACCAGCCAGUACAGGGUAUUCCAGCAGGAAAUACCCUGCCAUCAAGGGAAAAUGAAAACACAUGCCACCAAAGCUUUAUGCAGAGUUUACUUGCCCCUCACCUUGGAGAUCAAGUUAGUGGAAGCCAAAGAUCAAUCUCAGAACAUCAAAGGAACACACAAUGCGGUGCCUCCUCCACAAUUGAGUACAACUGUCCCCCAGCACGGGAGAGUGUCCAUAUCCGAAGAGAUGGUGAUGGCCAGAGUAGGGAGAGCUGUGACAUGUCUAUUGGUGCAAUUAACACAAGGAACAGUUCUUUGACUAUUCCUUUUUCGAGUUCUUCUUCCUCGGGAGAUAUUCAGGGCCGCAAUACAAGCCCUAACAUCUCUGUGCAGAAGUCCAAUCCCAUGAGGAUGACAGAGAGUCAUGGAACUAAGAGCCACAUGAAUACACCCGUUUCUAGCAACAUGCAUGGAGUUGUGAGGCCAACUCACCCUCACCCUGCCGUUUCUCAUGGAAAUGGCGAGCAAGGGCAACCGUCUGUUCGUCAGCCAAAUUCUUCAGUUACUCAGCGGUCGAGGCAUCCUCUGCAAGAUAAUGCAGGUUCUAAAAUACGCCAGCCAGAAAGGAAUCGAUCUGGAAAUCAAAGACAUGGGAACGUCUUUGACCCUAGUCUUCCGCAUCUUCCCCUGUCCACCAGUGGCAGUAUGAUCCUUGGGCGCCAGCAGUCUGCGAUAGAAAAAAGAGGAAGCAUUGUCCGAUUUAUGUCUGAUGGUCCUCAAGUGUCUAAUGAUAACGCAGCCCCUGACCAACAUACUCUCUCUCAGAAUUUUGGAUUCCCUUUUAUUCCAGAGGGUGGCAUGAAUCCACCGAUAAAUGCCAAUACCUCUUUCAUCCCACCAGUCACCCAGCCUAGUGCCACUCGAACACCAGCUCUAAUCCCGGUCGACCCUCAGAAUACGCUGCCGUCCUUCUAUCCUCCGUACUCUCCUGCCCACCCUACCCUUUCCAAUGACAUUUCUAUCCCUUACUUUCCCAAUCAAAUGUUUCCUAACCCAAGCACAGAGAAGCCGAGUAGUGGAAGUCUGAACAAUCGAUUUGGAUCCAUUUUGUCUCCUCCCAGGCCUGUUGGUUUUGCGCAGCCAAGUUUUCCUUUGCUUCCAGAUAUGCCGCCGAUGCACAUGACCAACACGUCGCACUUAUCCAAUUUUAACUUGACGUCUUUGUUUCCAGAAAUAGCCACAGCUCUUCCUCCAGAUGGUUCAGCAAUGUCGCCUUUGCUUUCCAUUGCAAACACAUCUGCUUCAGAUUCUUCCAAGCAGUCCUCAAACCGACCUGCCCACAAUAUAAGCCAUAUUCUAGGUCAUGACUGCAGCUCAGCUGUGUGAAAACUGCUAGACUGACUUCUUGUCUGAUGCGUUGUUUAUAUAUUUAAGAAGAAGAAAGUGGAUCUUACUGGCAUCCCUGAAGAGACCAUUCAUAGCUCACUGUUUAUUUGCCUAAAUGUAUGUAUAUGGGUACUUUUUGUAUUUAUAUACACACUGUAUUUCCAUCCACCUUACUAACUUUAAAGCACCAGUGCCUAUAGCAAUGCUUACUAGUAAACAGUAAGGAUGCAGUAUUGAGAGCUGUGCAAAUAUUGGUUGUUGAUUUUCCAACAAUCAAGUUUGAUGUCUGAUUGUUCCAGGGAAAGGGCCACACUCAGUAAUAUGUGGAUGUUAAAGAAAGGAAAGAGAGCAUCCAUAUGGCAGAUAGGAAACAAAUGCUACAGGUUUCAUUUUGUUUCUGAUGUGUUUACUUGAAACUACAGACAAACUUGAAGUGGCUUGGGCUUCUCUUUUUCUUUCGUAAAAUAUUUUCAGGAGCCUCAACACAAAGUCAAGUCUGUGUUAGCUCAGUGUUAAUUGAUAAAGAUAUUUGUUGUGCAGCUUUUGUCUGUUUGAAGCUUGUCACACACACUUGACUUAAGGUUGACUUUACCCAGCAAAAAUUACUAUGUGUUUCAUUGGUUAGCAAUUAAAAAUACUGGAUUAGAAAAUUCAGAUUUCUUUAACCCGUGACUAUCUGUUUAUGAGAAUAAUUUUGUUUGGAUCCGUUUUAACAAUGGCUUCACUUACUGCUGAACUUGGUCAAUGUUUUAAUGUAGCUUACAACUCCUUCUGGUAUAGUCAGCACAGACAGCACUCCUAUUUUUUGCCAUUUCAUUGUUCAUAUGCUGCAAGUUACCUCAGGGUGGGUUUUGUACCUUGUUUGGCACCUUCUUCAUGUCUUUUUCUCCCCUUUCCACUCUCCUUUUCUUUGGUCCAUGCUCAAACACCAGCUUUCUGGUUUCUGUGAGUGACAGCUAUUUGUUUGUACCAGGCAGCACAUGGGAGGAGGGCUGAGCCUGUGGCGUCCUGCAAAAUGAGUGGAGAUAGAUCCCUGUGGGCACAGUUUUUACUUAAUGUUGCUGACAGGAUCGGACCUGAGUUAGUAUCAGUACUCUGCACUUGAAUGCACCUUUUGUCCAAACCCGUAUGAUUGUGGCUGCAGGACCAUGAACGUGUCAAACCUGCAACACCGCACACCAUGAAGAUUUGCCAUUUGAGCACCAUGAGGAGGGGGGAUGCAUUUGUAUGUACGUGAGAGACGGAGUGAACAUGCGUGGGCUGGCUGAGUCUCCAGAGCUUUCACAAGUUUUGAUUCCAUUUCUUUUAAAGGAAAGGAAAGAACUAGGACUUUUUCUGAAACCUGCCGAGACCAGGAUGGAGAAGUAUCAUUUCAUUUCUCUCUUUGAACACGGCAAUUUCUGUUGACGUUCAACCACAUACCAGUGUGAGUCUUUUUACGUGCCGUAAGUGCUGCUAAGUGAUCCUGUGGAGUCGGUGUGGGAGCAGGAAGACCGCUAUGACAAGGAAGGUAGGCAGCCCUAUUUGCAAGAGCUUCGUAUAAACACAUUUCUCCAAAUUCUGGUAUUUACACUGCUGACUGGCUUUCAGAUCAAUUUAAUUACAAGAAACAUCAGCUCUGUUGUGCAGCCUUUUGGUCUAAUUCACUGUCCAAGAUGUUCUUUGAAUGCUGGGUCUGACCAGGUCCCCUGGUUUAAGAGGAAUUUGUGGGUUUGCCACAGAUUUCAGCUUCUCAUAUGUUCAUGCUCAAAUGCCUUUAGGAAGAACAAUGGAUAGGCUGGAUAUUUCACAUUAAAAGAGAGGAAAUUAAAUGUUAAGAGAUUUUUGUUGGUUUUCAAUUAUGAAGUUGUUUUAGGUUUCCUCUUCACUAUAAGCUAAUCACUUCCACGUUGGCCAGGCCACGGCACAGCUCCUCACGUUUAGGUUUGUAGGUGAGUUUGUGACGCUGACAGGUCAGGGUUUCAGCUUCUGACUGCAGGCCAGUUCCCAGACCUUUGGGCUCUGCUCCCGGGUAGAGGGUGUAUUGCAACAUCUGAACCUUUGAGUGGCAACAUUUCUUUCUCUUUUCUUUCCUUUCCCUUAUCAUUGAAGCUGGUGUGUUUAGGUCUCAGGUUGGUAAGACAUUAAGAAAGGCUCACCUUACCUUGAUAUAUGCUUUUCUUUUUUUUUCUUUGGUGGAGAGGGGUGGUGGUGGAAGGAAAAGUUGACAAAAGUUUCGCAGAUCAAAUAAUUGUUUUACUUGUUACAAUAACAAUUCAAGAAACAAAUACAUUUUCCUCAGCAAACAGCUAUGACACCAACAAUUUAUCAUUUUCUUCUAAGAAUUGCCUGGCAAUUACAGUUCCUCUGUUUUUCAAGAUGUAUUUAGAAAAUAUUCUGUGGUUUUAAUUGCAGUCUGUUAGCCUGACAAUGGCAUUUUCCCUUCCAUAGUACCCUUGCAAUGGUUACUUACACUAAAGUGGGGUUUUGUUUUAGUUUUGGAGAAAGGAAGAAUACCCAGUGCUGCCUAAUUCAGCAAAAUAAGCAGCAGAAGGAAAAGGUUCAGAACUACCUCAAGGGUGGGACCGCCAGAGCUGACACGUGGUGUGUGUCUGUGGCUUUCAGCUUGGCCUAAAUGACUUCAGCAAACAAUGGCAAAUGUUGUAGGGCUGUAUUGCACAAGUGCCAGUGUAGUCCUUGGUUAAUCCCUUAAGAAGCCCAGGAGAGCAAGAGCAGAGCCAGACUAAGUUGAAAGCAGGCAGUAAAGUAGUAACGUAUUAACAUUUGUAUACCUUUUCAUUGAGAGAAAGGACCUCAUUUAAGAACAGCUAUGGAAACUGAGAACUGAAGUGACUUGAGCCAGCGGCUGAACCUAACUGGAAUGUGUUUUCUAGCUCCUGCUCCAGUCACUACACUGCUGCCCAGGUGGAAGAGCACCUCUCUGAAAAAUUAAAAAA
Molecule: RNA transcript, 9815 nt
Organism: Columba livia (rock pigeon)
Lineage: Eukaryota; Metazoa; Chordata; Aves; Columbiformes; Columbidae
Gene: USF3
Gene name: upstream transcription factor family member 3
Exons: 7
Source: RefSeq, a predicted model, not a curated record